GCUGAAAUACGCUGUUAACGCACUCGUAAUGCGUAGGUCGGAGGUUCGAGUCCUCUUUGCGGCACCA
Molecule: transfer RNA, 67 nt
Filed under: Halomonas cerina
Lineage: Bacteria; Pseudomonadati; Pseudomonadota; Gammaproteobacteria; Oceanospirillales; Halomonadaceae
Description: tRNA-Ser
Rfam family: tRNA
About the family: Transfer RNA (tRNA) molecules are approximately 80 nucleotides in length. Their secondary structure includes four short double-helical elements and three loops (D, anti-codon, and T loops). Further hydrogen bonds mediate the characteristic L-shaped molecular structure. tRNAs have two regions of fundamental functional importance: the anti-codon, which is responsible for specific mRNA codon recognition, and the 3' end, to which the tRNAs corresponding amino acid is attached (by aminoacyl-tRNA synthetases). tRNAs cope with the degeneracy of the genetic code in two manners: having more than one tRNA (with a specific anti-codon) for a particular amino acid; and 'wobble' base-pairing, i.e. permitting non-standard base-pairing at the 3rd anti-codon position.
Source: RNAcentral